GACGAACGCUGGCGGCGUGCCUAAUACAUGCAAGUAGAACGCUGAAGGAGGAGCUUGCUUCUCUGGAUGAGUUGCGAACGGGUGAGUAACGCGUAGGUAACCUGCCUGGUAGCGGGGGAUAACUAUUGGAAACGAUAGCUAAUACCGCAUAAGAGUAGAUGUUGCAUGACAUUUGCUUAAAAGGUGCAAUUGCAUCACUACCAGAUGGACCUGCGUUGUAUUAGCUAGUUGGUGGGGUAACGGCUCACCAAGGCGACGAUACAUAGCCGACCUGAGAGGGUGAUCGGCCACACUGGGACUGAGACACGGCCCAGACUCCUACGGGAGGCAGCAGUAGGGAAUCUUCGGCAAUGGACGGAAGUCUGACCGAGCAACGCCGCGUGAGUGAAGAAGGGUUUCGGAUCGUAAAGCUCUGUUGUAAGAGAAGGACGAGUGUGAGAGUGGAAAGUUCACACUGUGACGGUAUCUUACCAGAAAGGGACGGCUAACUACGUG
RNAcentral lists this ribosomal RNA (495 nucleotides) under uncultured bacterium. RNAcentral's name for it is "partial 16S ribosomal RNA". It matches the Rfam family "Bacterial small subunit ribosomal RNA", at positions 28 to 507 of the family's 1533-position model. The record is from RNAcentral.